CCUACGGGAGGCAGCAGUGAGGAAUAUUGGUCAAUGGGCGCGAGCCUGAACCAGCCAAGUCGCGUGAGGGAUGAAGGUUCUAUGGAUCGUAAACCUCUUUUAUAAGGGAAUAAAGUGCGGGACGUGUCCUAUUUUGUAUGUACCUUAUGAAUAAGGAUCGGCUAACUCCGUGCCAGCAGCCGCGGUAAUACGGAGGAUCCGAGCGUUAUCCGGCUUUAUUGGGUUUAAAGGGUGCGUAGGCGGGCUUUUAAGUCCGCGGUGAAAGUCUGUGGCUCAACCAUAGAAUUGCCGUUGAAACUGGGGGGCUUGAGUAUGUUAGAGGCAGGCGGAAUGCGUGGUGUAGCGGUGAAAUGCUUAGAUAUCACGCAGAACCCCGAUUGCGAAGGCAGCCUGCCAGGCCAUGACUGACGCUGAUGCACGAAAGCGUGGGGAUCGAACAGGAUUAGAUACCCGAGUAGUC
Molecule: ribosomal RNA, 460 nt
Filed under: uncultured bacterium
Lineage: Bacteria
Description: partial 16S ribosomal RNA
Rfam family: Bacterial small subunit ribosomal RNA
Source: RNAcentral